GGUGUGAAUUGCAAAAUCCCGUGAACCAUCGAGUCUUUGAACGCAAGUUGCGCCCGAGGCCACUACGGCUGAGGGCACGUCUGUCUGGGCGUCGCGCACAGCGUCACCUAACACCACGCUCCUCCUUGAGAAGCCGGUGGAGUAUGGCCUCCCGUGUCUUGGGCAAAGGCGCGGUUGGCCCAAAUCUGAGGCACGGGGCAAUGAAUGCCGUGACAGUUGGUGGUCAGCGGGCCGAAAGGCCCACGGUUACACGACUUGUCAUCGCGCCAUUGCCUCUUUUGCUUGUAUCCACAUCGAUCUGCCGCCGUCGUGCGGUAGAGUGAGUCGACCCCAGAUCAGGCGGGGUUACCC
This 351-nucleotide ribosomal RNA is filed under the name Drosera burmannii. RNAcentral describes it as "eukaryotic LSU rRNA". The stretch from base 1 to 94 matches the Rfam family "5.8S ribosomal RNA", at positions 64 to 154 of the family's 154-position model. Lineage: Eukaryota; Viridiplantae; Streptophyta; Magnoliopsida; Caryophyllales; Droseraceae. The record is from RNAcentral.